UGAGGAAUUUUGCGCAAUGGGGGAAACCCUGACGCAGCAACGCCGCGUGGGUGAUGAAGGCCUUCGGGUCGUAAAGCCCUGUCGGGCGGGAAGAACGUCCCUUCGGGGAAUGACGGUACCGCCAGAGGAAGCACCGGCUAACUCCGUGCCAGCAGCCGCGGUAAUACGGAGGGUGCAAGCGUUAUUCGGAAUUACUGGGCGUAAAGGGCGUGCAGGCGGGAGAGCAAGUCUGAUGUGAAAGCCCGGGGCUUAACCCCGGAAGGGCAUUGGAAACUGCUUUUCUUGAGUUCUGGAGAGGAAGGGAGAAUUCCCGGUGUAGAGGUGAAAUUCGUAGAGAUCGGGAGGAACAUCAGUGGCGAAGGCGGCCUCCUGGACCAUUCCUGACACUCAGACGCGAAAGCUAGGGUAGCAAACG
This 415-nucleotide ribosomal RNA is filed under the name uncultured prokaryote. Its description in RNAcentral is "bacterial SSU rRNA". It matches the Rfam family "Bacterial small subunit ribosomal RNA", at positions 355 to 774 of the family's 1533-position model. The record is from RNAcentral.